CCUACGGGCGGCAGCAGUGGGGAAUAUUGCACAAUGGGGGAAACCCUGAUGCAGCGACGCCGCGUGAGCGAAGAAGUAUUUCGGUAUGUAAAGCUCUAUCAGCAGGGAAGAAAAUGACGGUACCUGAGUACGAAGCUCCGGCUAAAUACAUGCCAGCGGCCGCGGUAAUACGGAUGGAGCAAGCGUUAUCCGGAUUUACUGGGCGUAAAGGGAGCGUAUGCGGCCUGCCAAGUCUGAUGUGAAAUACCGGGGCCCAACCCCGGGGCUGCAUUGGAAACUGGCAGGCUGGAGUGCCGGAGAGGCAGGCGGAAUUCGUAGUGUAGCGGUGAAAUGCGUAGAUAUUAGGAGGAACACCAGUGGCGAAGGCGGCCUGCUGGACGGUGACUGACGCUGAGGCUGGAAAGCGUGGGGAGCAAACAGGAUUAGAUACCCUGGUAGUC
Molecule: ribosomal RNA, 440 nt
Filed under: uncultured bacterium
Lineage: Bacteria
Description: partial 16S ribosomal RNA
Rfam family: Bacterial small subunit ribosomal RNA
Source: RNAcentral